RNAcentral lists this ribosomal RNA (957 nucleotides) under Triticum aestivum (bread wheat). Its description in RNAcentral is "partial small subunit ribosomal RNA". Lineage: Eukaryota; Viridiplantae; Streptophyta; Magnoliopsida; Poales; Poaceae. The record is from RNAcentral.
AUGUUCAUCGACACAGGCAGCGACGUGUCAUGGGUGCAGUGCAAGCCAUGCUCGCGGUGCCACUCGCAGGCGGACUCGCUCUUCGACCCCAGCUCGUCGAGCACCUACUCCCCGUUCACCUGCAGCUCCGCCGCCUGCGCGCAGCUCCGCCGGGACGGCCAAGGAAACGGCUGCUCCGGCUCCCAGUGCCAAUACAUUGUCAACUACGGCGAUGGUUCGAGAACCAUCGGGACCUACAGCUCCGACACGCUCUCUCUGGGCUCCAACGCCGUCAGCAACUUUCAGUUCGGGUGCAGCCAGUCUGAGUCGGGCCUCCUUCUCAACGACCAGACCGCUGGGCUCAUCGGGCUCGGCGGCGGCGCUCAGUCGCUGGCCACCCAGACCGCGGGGUCCUUCGGCAAGGCCUUCUCGUACUGCCUCCCGCCGACUCCGGGGUCGUUCGGGUUCCUCACUCUCGGUGCAGCAACCUCGGGUUUCGUCAAGACGCGGAUGCUCAGGAGCACGCACGUCCCGGCGUACUACGGCGUGCUCCUUCAAGCCAUCAGGGUGGGAGGCAGGCAGCUCAACAUACCCACCUCGGUCUUCUCGGCCGGGUCGAUCAUGGACUCCGGCACAAUCAUCACGUGCCUGCCGCGGACCGCGUACUCGGUGCUGUCGUCGGCGUUCAGGGCCGGCAUGAAGCAGUACCCGCCGGCACAGCCCAGGGGCAUCUUCGACACGUGCUUCGACUUCAGCGGCCAGUCCACCAUCAACGUACCGAGCGUCGCACUGGUGUUCUCCGGGGGCGCCGUCGUCGACCUCGCCUCGGACGGGAUCAUUCUGGACAGCUGCCUCGCCUUCGCGGCCAACCGCGAUGACAGCUCGCUCGGCAUCAUCGGCAACGUGCAGCAGCGGACGUUCGAGAUGCUCUACGACGUUGGUGGCGGCGCCGUGGGGUUCAAGGCUGGCGCAUGCUGA